CAAAGGAUAGUUUAAUUAAAAUAUGAAUUUUGGAGAUUUAAGAUGGAUUAUAUCUUCCUUUGA
Molecule: transfer RNA, 63 nt
Filed under: Pseudocolaspis sp. EMHAU-15071004
Lineage: Eukaryota; Metazoa; Arthropoda; Insecta; Coleoptera; Chrysomelidae
Description: tRNA-Pro
Source: RNAcentral